GAGUUUGAUCAUGGCUCAGAUUGAACGCUGGCGGCAUGCCUUACACAUGCAAGUCGAACGGUAACAGGUCUUCGGAUGCUGACGAGUGGCGAACGGGUGAGUAAUACAUCGGAACGUGCCCGAUCGUGGGGGGAUAACGAAGCGAAAGCUUUGCUAAUACCGCAUACGAUCUACGGAUGAAAGCAGGGGACCGCAAGGCCUUGCGCGAACGGAGCGGCCGAUGGCAGAUUAGGUAGUUGGUGGGAUAAAAGCUUACCAAGCCGACGAUCUGUAGCUGGUCUGAGAGGACGACCAGCCACACUGGGACUGAGGCAUGGCCCAGACUCCUACGGGAGGCAGCAGUGGGGAAUUUUGGACAAUGGGCGAAAGCCUGAUCCAGCCAUGCCGCGUGCGGGAUGAAGGCCUUCGGUUGUAACUGCUUUGUACGGUACGAAAGACUCUGGUUAAUACCUGGGUCCGAUGACGGUACCGUAACGAAUAAGCACCGGCUAACUACGUGCCAGCAGCCGCGGUAAACC
Molecule: ribosomal RNA, 518 nt
Filed under: uncultured microorganism
Description: bacterial SSU rRNA
Rfam family: Bacterial small subunit ribosomal RNA
Source: RNAcentral